Non-coding RNA from Drosophila suzukii, 349 nucleotides. NCBI's taxonomy places the organism in Eukaryota, Metazoa, Arthropoda, Insecta, Diptera, Drosophilidae. The record is from RefSeq and is a predicted model, not a curated record.
AACUAUCACCGUGUCACGUUACUAACAAGAACACACAUCCUUAACCGCAAAAAGGUAAACAAACAAGUGGUAUUAAAUCCGUUGGUGCCCCGAGGGACGUCUAAGAGGCACCACCCAUCAUCAACGGCCGGAAUAAACUCUAUAGCUACUACAUCUUCCCCAUUACGAUUAGUUUAGUAAGCGUAAAUUUAAUAGAUCAAAGCAGCGAAGGACAACUACAGACGCCUGAUAAGUUAACGCAUGGCAUAAGCAAAUAAUAAAAAGGUAUGUCUGUGACCAGGUUUUGACUCAAGGAAAAAAAAGGGGUACAAAUCGGGACCACAAACGCUUCUGCAGAAAUCAUUUUGUG